This 465-nucleotide ribosomal RNA is filed under the name uncultured bacterium. RNAcentral's name for it is "partial 16S ribosomal RNA". It matches the Rfam family "Bacterial small subunit ribosomal RNA", at positions 28 to 507 of the family's 1533-position model. The record is from RNAcentral.
GACGAACGCUGGCGGCGUGCUUAACACAUGCAAGUCGAACGGUGAACUCCGCUUGCGGGGGGAUCAGUGGCGAACGGGUGAGUAACACGUGGGCAACCUGCCCUCAGCUCUGGGAUAACUCCAAGCAAUUGGGGCUAAUACCGGACAUGUCCGCUGACCGCAUGGUUGGGGGGUGGAAAGAUUUAUCGGCUGGGGAUGGGCCCGCGGCCUAUCAGCUUGUUGUUGGGGUAGUGGCCUACCAAGGCGACGACGGGUAGCCGGCCUGAGAGGGUGACCGGCCACACUGGGACUGAGACACGGCCCAGACUCCUACGGGAGGCAGCAGUGGGGAAUAUUGCGCAAUGGGCGGAAGCCUGACGCAGCGACGCCGCGUGGGGGAUGACGGCCUUCGGGUUGUAAACCUCUUUCAGCAGGGACGAAGCGAAAGUGACGGUACCUGCAGAAGAAGCACCGGCCAACUACGUG